GACGAACGCUGGCGGCGUGCUUAACACAUGCAAGUCGAACGGAAAGGCCCUGCUUGCAGGGUACUCGAGUGGCGAACGGGUGAGUAACACGUGGGUGAUCUGCCCUGCACUUCGGGAUAAGCCUGGGAAACUGGGUCUAAUACCGGAUAGGAGCCAUUCUUAGUGUGAUGGCUGGAAAGUUUUGUCGGUGUAGGAUGAGCUCGCGGCCUAUCAGCUUGUUGGUGGGGUAAUGGCCUACCAAGGCGGCGACGGGUAGCCGGCCUGAGAGGGUGGACGGCCACAUUGGGACUGAGAUACGGCCCAGACUCCUACGGGAGGCAGCAGUGGGGAAUAUUGCACAAUGGGCGCAAGCCUGAUGCAGCGACGCCGCGUGGGGGAUGACGGCCUUCGGGUUGUAAACUCCUUUCGCUAGGGACGAAGCUUUUUGUGACGGUACCUAGAUAAGAAGCACCGGCUAACUACGUGCCAGCAGCCGCGGUAA
RNAcentral lists this ribosomal RNA (481 nucleotides) under uncultured bacterium. RNAcentral describes it as "partial 16S ribosomal RNA". It matches the Rfam family "Bacterial small subunit ribosomal RNA", at positions 28 to 523 of the family's 1533-position model. The record is from RNAcentral.